GGGCCCCCGGGUCCGCCGCGCCUUCUGCCCGCCUACCUUUCGUCGCCCGGGUCUCCUGACCUCGAGGCCCAGGCCUGCAGGGCCGUGGGCAGAAACUCGUGAGAAGGGGGCUGCGCGUUGUGCUCAGACUCAGCCUUGCCUCCGUUGCCUCCCUGACUUCUGGUCAAACCUGAGGGCAGGAGCCCCCCGACAGGCAUAUUCUGUUUUCUCUUGGCAUCCAUGAGACAGUAGCAGGCUCCAGUCUCUUCACAUGUCCUGAAACUACUCACCUACCUAAGAGUCUCAGCAUUAUUGGCAUAACUCCACCUCCCUGUGCCUUUCCUGCCGUGGAAGGAAGUGGAGAGAAGGGAGGAGUCAAGUGACAAUAAACUUCUGAGAAGAGAUGGCUGGAUGGCAUCACCAACUCAAUGAACCUGAGUUUGAGUAAACUCCGGGAGUUGGUGAUGGACAGGGAGGCCUGGCAGCUGCGAUUCAUGGGGUUGAAGAGAGUCGGACACGACUGAGCGACUGAACUGAACUGAACUGAGCUGAAGUCUGCAAAAAUAUGCAACAGUUUGGUAUUGGGACCAGGCAGAUUGUUUGAAAUUCAGAAUGAUUCCCCAAUUUCUAACAUAAAAAAGCAGAGGAAAUAAAGAAAACUUUAUAUUGCU
Molecule: long non-coding RNA, 650 nt
Organism: Dama dama (fallow deer)
Lineage: Eukaryota; Metazoa; Chordata; Mammalia; Artiodactyla; Cervidae
Exons: 3
Source: RefSeq, a predicted model, not a curated record